Molecule: transfer RNA, 66 nt
Filed under: Marmota monax (woodchuck)
Lineage: Eukaryota; Metazoa; Chordata; Mammalia; Rodentia; Sciuridae
Description: tRNA.Ala
Source: RNAcentral
GGUUGUGGCUCAGCGGUAGAGUGCUCGCCAUGCACAUGCGAGGCCUGGGUUCGAUCCUCAGUACCA